AUAUAUAUUGUGAUGUUUUGCUGAGGUUGUAGAAGUAUGUGUGUGCAGUGUUUUAGUUUGAAAUUACUGCACAUACUGAGUUAUUGGCACUUGUGUGCCGGGGGCCAGUUGCAACCCCAGUACAUGUGACAUUGGAGUUCUGGGCUGCCUAACGUUAAUUCUGUGCAUAUUUUACAACUGUCAUCAGAUUGCACUGCACACUUUUGACAACCAUAGGCAGAGUAUCUACAUAGGGAAAUAACUGUCCCCUCCCUCCCGGUGGGCACUGCCUCACGUGGUUCAAAAAGUGGGAGAACUCCUUCCCACUCUCCCCUCCCUCACCUCCUUGGCCUGGAGGGCACAGGCCAAGAAUUGAGCCAGAGAAUUGGUCCAAUGACAGGCUUCUCUAUGACAAGCCUGUGAUUGGACCGCGGGAGUGCCAACUCGUGUCAUGGCUGGCGUGGGAGAUCAGUGCCAGGAGUUUCAACUUGCGCUGGAUUUAGCUAAUUUAAAACCUUUUUUUGCAAAUUGCAGAAAUUACAGAGAACAAGAACAGUCAGACAAUUUUAGAAAAGCCAAAACAGUAAAUGCAGUAAAUACAGAAACUACAACAGGGCAAAGAGUAGUAACCAGAAUUGUCUUAGAAAGCUCCAGGAGAAUUGUAAUUUGGUGUGUGUUAAUAAUGAAGCCAAAAUGAGUGGGAC
Pelobates cultripes (western spadefoot toad) is the source of this 683-nucleotide non-coding RNA. The record is from the annotation of a GenBank genome assembly. NCBI's taxonomy places the organism in Eukaryota, Metazoa, Chordata, Amphibia, Anura, Pelobatidae.